CAACAAUGGCGGACGUUGAUGCGGGACGCGAAGUCGAGGAAAAUUUCACUUUUAAAUGACAAUCCUGGAGAAAAUGGAUCUGCUGGAGAAGUACAGCAGUGGGUGAAAGAGAGGAGAGUGAAGAAAGAGAAGGAAGGAGUGAGCCACCGACUGGUAGAAGAAAAAUAAGAAGAAACAGUGAUGAGCUUCUAGACCCGAUCAGAGAGGACAUGAGGCAGAAGAGCAGAGCACACGAGAGAGGAGGGAAACUUUUGACUAACUUUAGCCUGCUGGAAAGAAUUGCCAUUAAAUUCAUUAGAUGUCUGAAAAACUGAAGUUUAUAUUUGAUAUAUUAAACAUUUUUGUUUUUGUUUUAUUAAUUUAAAUAAAGAUCUAAAUCAAACACAGUGAUUGUAAUGAAUUAAUUGUAACUUUUAUUUCCAACUAUUUACAAAGAUAGUCGACAAGGAUGGGGGGCUUCAACUGAGACCCGGGCUGAAACUUUCUGGGUGGUGAUUGAAACAUAUUGCAGGAUGGUCUGCAGAGAGUUUUAGGAUGUAACUUUAAUGUAGACUGCAUCGUCCAUCUUCAGGGUUUGCAGGGCUGGCUGUUGAUGGAUGCUGCAUGACCAAAAAUGAUCCAUAAAUAUGAGAUAAUGCAUGUACAGGCUUUGGAGAAAAAC
This is a long non-coding RNA of Oryzias melastigma (Indian medaka), 661 nucleotides long. RefSeq lists it as uncharacterized. The transcript is spliced from 2 exons. NCBI's taxonomy places the organism in Eukaryota, Metazoa, Chordata, Actinopteri, Beloniformes, Adrianichthyidae. The record is from RefSeq and is a predicted model, not a curated record.